Molecule: long non-coding RNA, 2090 nt
Organism: Bubalus bubalis (water buffalo)
Lineage: Eukaryota; Metazoa; Chordata; Mammalia; Artiodactyla; Bovidae
Exons: 4
Source: RefSeq, a predicted model, not a curated record
AACUAACACUUUCACUUUCUUUCACUUCCUACAAAAAACAGCUGGUACAAAUUACUGUGCUAUUAUGACUUACGUUUGGGCAUGGACGAUGUAGCACUCCGAGAAGAAAGCAGAGAGGAUGGUGAGCAACUAUAAAAUGAUGUCAACUAAGGAUCAGGUAGAAAAGGUGGUCACAUUUGCCUUGGGCAGCGGAGGCUAUGGCACAGGCUCUCAUUAGCAGCCAGGGCUGUACCUUGUGUCUUCCUGAGACACUUUGAAUUUACCUGGAUUUCAAGUGCAAUCUGGACACCAGCAGUGUUAAAAGCUCCUCGGAUGAGUUGAGCUGAGAACCCCUGUUUAGGGGGCAGUGGGCCUGAUUGUGAAAUGAGAAAAGCCUUCAAAUGGAAAAUGAACUAGGUCUCCUUGCUUCACCCCAAGAAAAGAAUCAGCACUAGUGCUAAGGGGUGAUAUGAAGGCUUAUCUGGGCUCAAAGGAAAGAAGAAUAUUUGAAAAGCUUUGAGCUAUACUGAAAAUGGAAGUUGUUUAGUGGUAAAGAAGCUUUGAUCUCUAGAGGUGGUCAAGGGGAAGAUGGACAACCAUCACCCGGGAAGGUUGAACUUGGCCAGUGAGGGCCCCCUGUGCCAGGAGGACCAGAAGCAUCAUUCAGCCCCCUCACCCUUCAUCAGAGCAGCUAAACUUUCUUUUUUUAAUAUUGGGUUUCCCCAUAAGAUUUCCUUUGAAGAAAGAGACCUGCUCAAAAAAAAAAAAAAAAAAAAAAAAACCCAAAAGCUUGAAGAAAGAGACCUGCUCAAAAAAAAAAAAAGCUUUAAAGUCACUCAACUAGUUGACCUUUAUAACUAUUACCAGCUCUGAAAUUCUACAGUAUUUAAUCUUGUUUGAUGUUUUCUAAGAAAUAAAGCUACUGAUUGAUCCAUUCUUCCGAAGUCUGAGGUGGCAAAGAAGGAGUUCGUGAAAGGGAUGGAAAAUGUGAUUAGGAGGAGGGGGGCGUUGCUCUCAGCAGAGGGCCAGAUGCAAGAGCCCUCAACCCUAUGUAAGCUUGCAAUCAAUCAGAGUCUCUGGGGAUGCUGUGUGGUGAUAGCUAUUCAUGAAACACAGCAAGGUUGAGAGCCAUGGGCUCCACGGGUGAGCUGUGAGAAGCAUUCUAUUGUACAUGGAGCCAAACAUGGCAAGCAGCCUCCAACAUUGUGCUUCUUAAACUUCAGGUGCAUCAUAUUCACCUGGAUGGCUUAUGCAAACAUAGAUGACUGUGCCCCACCCCCAGAGUUGCUGAUUCAGUGAGUCUGUGACCAGGUGAAGAAUUUAUAUUUUUAACAAGUUGCAGGUGAUGCCAAUACUUCUGGGGAGCACUAUCAGAGAACCACUGCCUGACAAAAGGGGUUUACUUUAGACCUGCAAAGAACCUCCUCAUGGUGGGAAGGUGAGUCACAGUACGCGGCAGCCUUGAGAGGAUGGGCUAGUGCACUUAACCACUGUGGUCUUCCUUGCAGAAAUAUACUCACCUGACAGAGGAGCCUGGCAGGCUGCCGUCUAUGGGGUUGCACAGAGUCAGACACGACUGAAGCAACUUAGCGGCAGCAGCAGCAGCAGUGUAUCACCCAGGUGGCGCUAGUGGUAAAGAAACUGCCUGCCAAUGCAGGAGAGUUCCAAGACAAUGUGCUCAAGGUGGUGGUUGAAAUGAAGGGCAGUCAGAGUCCUUUCCCCAGACAAUAUUUUGCUGCUGGUCCCCUCAGCCUUUUGGAUGCUUGUUGCUUACAGUUCCUGCCAUGGUAUCUGAUGAGGUUCCAGACAAUAAGUAUCAACCAUACCUGUUGCUGAGGAUGCAGAAGCAGCCUUGCUAACGUGCAGCAGUGACGCGACUCACAGUCAGCUGACAUGGCAGGAAGUCACCUCAAGCUACACUGACAGACGGGAAAGUCCAGAGUAGCUUGAAUGUACUUUUUAAGAAAAGGAAAUAAAGAAGGCACUUUGGAGCUGAUGGGCUGUGUCACAAAGUCAGAAAGCCCAAUUACAUUUGAUAAUUUUGUGUAAGACGUAGGAAUAGUCUGGGAAUGCAUUGAUUUUAAAUAAAAAUAUUACUAUAAUGUUUGCAA